Varanus komodoensis (Komodo dragon) is the source of this 1212-nucleotide long non-coding RNA. RefSeq lists it as uncharacterized. NCBI's taxonomy places the organism in Eukaryota, Metazoa, Chordata, Lepidosauria, Squamata, Varanidae. The record is from RefSeq and is a predicted model, not a curated record. The transcript is spliced from 3 exons.
UCUGCUCACUACAUCCAGGGAGACAUCAUUCCAGCCCAAAGCAGAGGAAGUAAGCAGAUUCUCAAUAUGGAGAAACAGGAGAAUGUUCCUGUUUCUUGAUGAAAACCCCUAGAUGACUGUGCUUGACUUCCUUCUGCUUGUUUUGACAGAGAGUGGUGAUUAGCUCCUGGCAAAUGCUGAGCUCACAGUGGCCCAGUGGUGGGCAUUCCCCUCUUUCCUAGCCAGCAUUAUAAGAGGGAGAACCUCAGCUGGCCAGGAGAGCAAGAGCAGAGCCCAUGAAUGCUUUGUCCUAAGGAAGCCACUGUCAUGCAAGAGGAUUUCAGGGAUUCUCUCCUCCAGCUGCUGCAGCGCACAUUGAUCGCAAAGAAUCCUUCUACCUUCCCCUCCCACCAGUCUUCACAUGUUGUAAAUUCUUGCAGUGGAUUAGAGUGGAUCCUGUUAUCAAAUACAAAGCAGAAAACCAGGGCCUUUUGCCAGGAUUUCUGCUUCCAUGGGUAGAGACCACUGUCCGGCUGUUAGGUUCAAGACUAAGGACACGAAAGUAGGAGAAGAUACAUGUCCUGGCUCCCUUUAUUUUGUGGAUCCUUCCUGGUUAUUUCUUAGAGCCAUGAAGAACACGUUCUUCUCACCUCCUUGCAAGACCAAUCCAGUGAAAAAGAAUGUGCUGCCAUAGUUGCUUUGUUUCCAGAAGUCACAUUAUGAAUCCCCUCCAAAGCUGCUAAGGCUUGAGUGGGGACUACGGUUCUAUUCUGUAGAUUUAGCAUCAAAUCAAGAAAGACAAUCAUAACACAAAAAUAGCACUUCAGCUAAUGAAUAUUCAUUUGCUUGGUAUCCAGUUCUGUAUCGCAGUAACUCAUACUGUAAUACAGCAUGCAAGAUUUUUUUUUAGAAAGCAUUAACAAAGUACAGAGAUCUGUGCAUUUCCUUGGACAAAAAUAAGCCAAACAGUAACAGAAAUAAAAUUCCAGGACAGGUGACAGAAGGUAGAGGAGCAGCAACAGUCUAAAAACCAUUCAGCUGGUGUGGAAUACUGCAAUCAGAAAAGAGACAUUUUGCCUGGCAAACUCUGUGAUUCAGUGUGGCAUGGUUGGGAGUUGCCAAAUACUCCUGUUAAAAAAAACCAUUCCUUGUAGUACUGCUAGGAUUGGAACUUUGGCAUUUCUGUGGUGUUUGUAACUAUUUCAAUUCAGAAAUAAACAUUGGAGAAAUCUA